UACGGAGGGUGCAAGCGUUAUCCGGAUUCACUGGGUUUAAAGGGUGCGUAGGUGGGUUGGGAAGUCAGUGGUGAAAUCUCCGAGCUUAACUUGGAAACUGCCAUUGAUACUAUCAGUCUUGAAUAUUGUGGAGGUUAGCGGAAUAUGUCAUGUAGCGGUGAAAUGCUUAGAUAUGACAUAGAACACCAAUUGCGAAGGCAGCUGGCUACACAUAUAUUGACACUGAGGCCCGAAAGCGUGGGGAUCAAACAGG
RNAcentral lists this ribosomal RNA (253 nucleotides) under uncultured bacterium. Its description in RNAcentral is "partial 16S ribosomal RNA". It matches the Rfam family "Bacterial small subunit ribosomal RNA", at positions 524 to 776 of the family's 1533-position model. The record is from RNAcentral.